GUUUUCGACCCAGCUGCUCCUGCAAAACCAAAGCAUCAGAAACAUGAGUGAUAUCCAAUAGGAUCUCGACACUUGAUCAACAUGUGGAGAUGUGGUCACCAUAGUCCCCACUUGGUGCAUAGGAUGGGGCAAAUCUUGUAACAAUCCCCAAGAGAUAAACUGGGAUUGAGGAACAGAAUGAAAGAUGAGAAAUGGUGCAUUGUACUGUCAUAGCAACUCUAUCACCGAAUAGUUGUAAUAACAGGAAUCAAUCACUGUACAGCAUCCAGUCAUGGUGUGGGAAUAAAAAUAUUUCAACAUG
Molecule: long non-coding RNA, 301 nt
Organism: Rhincodon typus (whale shark)
Lineage: Eukaryota; Metazoa; Chordata; Chondrichthyes; Orectolobiformes; Rhincodontidae
Exons: 2
Source: RefSeq, a predicted model, not a curated record